Pseudoliparis swirei is the source of this 1307-nucleotide long non-coding RNA. RefSeq lists it as uncharacterized. The record is from RefSeq and is a predicted model, not a curated record. NCBI's taxonomy places the organism in Eukaryota, Metazoa, Chordata, Actinopteri, Perciformes, Liparidae. The transcript is spliced from 2 exons.
UAACAGUGGACACAGACAGCCAAUCUACACGUGUUCGGAGCCCAAUGGGCUCGCAGAGGAAUGAAGACAUCAACAGGAAAAACACCCGUGUGGAGCCAGAGGACCAGGUCCUCAUCAAGGUGGUGAAAAGAAAACAUUGGCACCAUCCACGCUGGGAAGGUCCAUUCACCGUCUUGCUGACCACUCCAACGUCGUUAAAAAUUGCAGAGCGGAACACCUGGAUACAUCAGAGCCACUGCAAGAAGGUAAUACCUCUCCAGGCAGACGACGGGAUUGUGGUGUGAAGUCCGGUUACAAAGGGUGGUGGUUCGUUUAGGGCCACUAAUCUCAACCCCGUGAAGAAAUCAACUGAGCCACAUCCAUUAAGAAAAUGCUUGGUCAGGUGUUACUUGCAGUGUUACAGGUGCUGCGACCCUAGAGGUCAGAGGACUGCUGAACUAUGACGAACUGCAGUCGAGGCAGAAAAGAUGGACACAUCUGAAAAACGACCCCAGCGAAGAAGAGAAACAACCACGACUGAAGAAUAAAUGGUUUUCGUAUAUGCAUAAGUAGCCUGCAAGUUAUGGGAAACGAAUUGCUAUGUGUGUUCUGUGUUGCCUAUUUCCUCUGACCAGGUGACCCUCCAUGGCAAAGUGAUGAGCAGAUUGCAGGCUAAAUGUUUUGCAUCCAUGGCAGGGGGAGGUUACGAUAUCACCCCCCCACGCUCCAGGUUUGAGAAAUGGGAUAUGUGAAGCCGAAUUUUGGGUAAACUGGAACCAUACUGUUAGAGGGAAAUCUAUUCCACAGCGGCUGAUCAUGCGAGGCAAGGAGCAACAUCCAAUGUGUAUAACAAGUUAACCAGGUCUGAAUAUGAGAAAAACACAGUACAAAGCUAAAAAAUGAAAAACAGGAGGGAAUGUUAGGUUUUGGAUCAUGUGUUUUCAAUUUGUAUUAAAGAAUGUAAGCCCUAUGAAUUAUUGUUUACUCCACAGGGUUGUAAUUAUUAGAAGAAGAUUAAUAAUUACAAUCAUAUUAUUGCUGUGUUGUUUAUUCUGUACCGGUCACACUGAGAGCAAAAGGUUCCAGGGUUACAUCUGGUUAAUAAGCAGACACAGGAACACUGUUUUGUUUCAGGUCUCCCCACAUAACUCACCCUAACCCACACCACACAGGACUCAAGGUCAUGAAGCAUCACUGAUAAGAGACCUCAUCCUGUUUUGUGUAACCACUUGUUUCAAUAAAAGGACUGUCGGGGGAGAACUGAGCCAGAGUGUUUUGGAGACGUGUGAAGGCACAGCUCAACUCUCUCCUUGCAGCAAGUAAAACUA